RNAcentral lists this transfer RNA (71 nucleotides) under Bos taurus (domestic cattle). It matches the Rfam family "tRNA". Rfam says of the family: Transfer RNA (tRNA) molecules are approximately 80 nucleotides in length. Their secondary structure includes four short double-helical elements and three loops (D, anti-codon, and T loops). RNAcentral also lists the same sequence under 5 other names. Lineage: Eukaryota; Metazoa; Chordata; Mammalia; Artiodactyla; Bovidae. The record is from Rfam by way of RNAcentral.
UCCCUGGUGGCUCAGGGGUAAAGAAUCUGCCUGCGAUGCAGGAGACACGGGUUCGAUCCCUGCUCUGGGAA